UAUCUCCUGCGGUGUUUGACAGUGGGCUGGGUGUUUCCUGAACCUAUAUUACCCCAGGGUGCUGAUGUUAGUCAUGGUGUGCAUGCCCGACAUGUCGAGAAGCCUGAUUGCCUAACCGUGCUCCCACUUGAACCAUUGGUUCAAGGACGAAAGCUUGCAUCGGCAUUAGUGGGAGAUGC
RNAcentral lists this non-coding RNA (179 nucleotides) under Methylocucumis oryzae. RNAcentral describes it as "Methylococcaceae bacterium Sn10-6 6S / SsrS RNA". It matches the Rfam family "6S / SsrS RNA". Rfam says of the family: E. coli 6S RNA was the first non coding RNA to be sequenced, but its function was unknown until recently. The record is from Rfam by way of RNAcentral. Lineage: Bacteria; Pseudomonadati; Pseudomonadota; Gammaproteobacteria; Methylococcales; Methylococcaceae.